RNAcentral lists this ribosomal RNA (253 nucleotides) under uncultured bacterium. Its description in RNAcentral is "partial 16S ribosomal RNA". It matches the Rfam family "Bacterial small subunit ribosomal RNA", at positions 524 to 776 of the family's 1533-position model. The record is from RNAcentral.
UACAGAGACUGCAAGCGUUAUUCGGAUUCACUGGGCGUAAAGGGUGCGCAGGCGGCCGAGUGUGUUAGAUGUGAAAUCCCGGGGCUCAACCCCGGAACUGCGUCUAAAACUACUUGGCUAGAGUAUUGGAGGGGGUAGCGGAAUUCACGGUGUAGCAGUGAAAUGCGUAGAUAUCGUGAGGAACACCAGAGGCGAAGGCGGCUACCUGGACAAUUACUGACGCUCAGGCACGAAAGCGUGGGGAGCAAAAGGG